AAAAACAUCGCCUCCUGCAAAAAAUCAAAGUAUAAGAGGUCCUACCUGCCCAGUGACGACUAGUUUAACGGCCGCGGUAUUUUGACCGUGCUAAGGUAGCGUAAUCACUUGUCUUUUAAAUGAAGACCCGUAUGAAUGGUAAAACGAGGGCUUAACUGUCUCCCUUCUCAGGUCAGUGAAAUUGAUCUGCUCGUGCAGAAGCGAGCAUAACGAUACAAGACGAGAAGACCCUUUGGAGCUUAAGACAUAAGGUCAACUACGUCAAAAAUCCCAAUAAAAAGGACCCUAAACAAAACAGCAACUGACCAGAGUCUUCGGUUGGGGCGACCGCGGGGGAAAAAAGAGCCCCCACAUGGAAUGGGACACCCCCAAACCAAGAGGGACACCUCUAAGUCUCAGAAUAUCUGACCAAAAGAUCCGGUUAUUUACCGAUUGACGAACCAAGUUACCCCAGGGAUAACAGCGCAAUCCCCUCCAAGAGUCCAUAUCGACAAGGGGGUUUACGACCUCGAUGUUGGAUCAGGACAUCCUAAUGGUGUAGCCGCUAUUAAGGGUUCGUUUGUUCAACGAUUAAAGUCCUACGUGAUCUG
This 590-nucleotide ribosomal RNA is filed under the name Triportheus pantanensis. Its description in RNAcentral is "partial 16S ribosomal RNA". It matches the Rfam family "Bacterial large subunit ribosomal RNA", at positions 1809 to 2607 of the family's 2925-position model. The record is from RNAcentral. Lineage: Eukaryota; Metazoa; Chordata; Actinopteri; Characiformes; Triportheidae.